This 253-nucleotide ribosomal RNA is filed under the name uncultured bacterium. Its description in RNAcentral is "partial 16S ribosomal RNA". It matches the Rfam family "Bacterial small subunit ribosomal RNA", at positions 524 to 776 of the family's 1533-position model. The record is from RNAcentral.
UACGGAGGGGGCUAGCGUUGUUCGGAAUUACUGGGCGUAAAGCGCACGUAGGCGGCUAUUCAAGUCAGAGGUGAAAGCCCGGGGCUCAACCCCGGAACUGCCUUUGAAACUAGAUAGCUAGAAUCACGGAGAGGUAAGUGGAAUUCCGAGUGUAGAGGUGAAAUUCGUAGAUAUUCGGAAGAACACCAGUGGCGGAGGCGGCUUACUGGACGUGAAUUGACGCUGAGGUGCGAAAGCGUGGGGAGCAAACAGG